GACAGAGGGUGCAAACGUUGUUCGGAAUUACUGGGCGUAAAGCGAGUGUAGGCGGUUUGAUAAGUCGGAUGUGAAAGCCCCGGGCUCAACCCGGGAAGUGCACUCGAUACUGUCAAGCUAGAGUAUCGGAGAGGUGAGUGGAACUGCGAGUGUAGAGGUGAAAUUCGUAGAUAUUCGCAAGAACACCAGUGGCGAAGGCGGCUCACUGGCCCGGUACUGACGCUGAGGUGCGAAAGCGUGGGGAGCAAACAGGG
RNAcentral lists this ribosomal RNA (254 nucleotides) under uncultured bacterium. RNAcentral's name for it is "partial 16S ribosomal RNA". It matches the Rfam family "Bacterial small subunit ribosomal RNA", at positions 524 to 777 of the family's 1533-position model. The record is from RNAcentral.